Molecule: ribosomal RNA, 433 nt
Filed under: uncultured bacterium
Lineage: Bacteria
Description: partial 16S ribosomal RNA
Rfam family: Bacterial small subunit ribosomal RNA
Source: RNAcentral
AACGAACGCUGGCGGCAUGCCUAACACAUGCAAGUCGAACGAGACCUUCGGGUCUAGUGGCGCACGGGUGCGUAACGCGUGGGAACCUGCCCUUAGGUUCGGAAUAACUCCCCGAAAGGGGUGCUAAUACCGGAUAAUGUCUUCGGACCAAAGAUUUAUCGCCUUUGGAUGGGCCCGCGUUGGAUUAGCUAGUUGGUAGGGUAAAAGCCUACCAAGGCGACGAUCCAUAGCUGGUCUGAGAGGAUGAUCAGCCACACUGGGAAUGAGACACGGCCCAGACCACUCCGUGCGGCAGGUGUGGGGAGUAGGGUGAAAAGGGCGAUAGUAUGACAAAGCCAUUCUACGUGAAUGAAAAAGGGCUUAGGAGGGUAAAAUUCUUUCGUCCGGGCCGAUAAAGGCGGCACCGGGAGCAGAAGAGAAGGAUAAGCUGAUC